Molecule: ribosomal RNA, 432 nt
Filed under: uncultured bacterium
Lineage: Bacteria
Description: partial 16S ribosomal RNA
Rfam family: Bacterial small subunit ribosomal RNA
Source: RNAcentral
ACGCACGCUUGCGGCAGGCCUCACACCUGCCAGUCGAGCGAGGACUUCGGUUCUAGCGGCGGACGGGUGAGUAACGCGUGGGAAUGUGCCCUUCUCUACGGAAUAGCCCUGGGAAACUGGGAGUAAUACCGUAUACGCCCUAUUGGGGAAAGAUUUAUCGGAGAAGGAUCAGCCCGCGUUGGAUUAGGUAGUUGGUGGGGUAAUGGCCUACCAAGCCGACGAUCCAUAGCUGGUUUGAGAGGAUGAUCAGCCACACUGGGACUGAGACACGGCCCAGACUCCUACGGGAGGCAGCAGUGGGGAAUCUUAGACAAUGGGGGCAACCCUGAUCUAGCCAUGCCGCGUGAGUGAUGAAGGCCUUAGGGUUGUAAAGCUCUUUCAGCUGGGAAGAUAAUGACGGUACCAGCAGAAGAAGCCCCGGCUAACUCCGUG